Gasterosteus aculeatus aculeatus (three-spined stickleback) is the source of this 1252-nucleotide long non-coding RNA. NCBI's taxonomy places the organism in Eukaryota, Metazoa, Chordata, Actinopteri, Perciformes, Gasterosteidae. The record is from Ensembl.
GCACCAUGGAAGCACUCCAACUCCUCUGGAGCCGGGCCCCCCACAAUCAUCAGGCAUUAUAAAGAGUGAGACACAUCGAGUGCAACUGGGAUAACACACUUUUUUUUUUUAAUUGACAUCUCCGGUUGGACAACAGAUUGCAGACGGGGGAGAAACGCAGCCCUCUAUUUGGCCGCCUCCCCUCUGCAGUCCUUCAUUAUUUGAGGGCAUUAAAACCAAAUGAAUGUCUCCCAGACGGGAACUAAUCCCUAUGGCCUGGUGCUCCGUCUUGGCACCACCACCUUUGAUUAUUCAACAUCAAUCUGCCACAGAGAGAAUGAAAGGAGCACAAUCCGAUUAGUGACAGGUACACUCUCUGAGAUAACAGCAUUUGCUCCCUGAAGACGAAGCCAUCUGCUGGCCCUGGACAUGCUCUCCUCAUCCAUUCAUCCCCACCCAUCCCACCAGUGGUUUCCUAAUCAUUUCUGACAAGCCUCCCUUUGAUUAUUUAGAAACACUGAAGGACAAAAGUAGGGGGUUGACCUGUAGAUUGGAGCCAUCCUUCUCCCAAUCCCUCCUAUUAGCACCUCAAGGCCUUUCCUCAUCAAGCGAGUGGUGGAUUUCAUCUGGUAUUGUGCUGACAGCUCAUAGAUUAGACCCUCAAUCUCAACUACCUCCUCCCUCCCUCACCACCUCUGUCUACCUCUCCAUUGAGAGCUCCAAUCAUUCUUCUCUGGCUAAGUGUCAAUAAACCCACCCACACACACACACACAGGAUCUGAUUCCAGCCCAGGCUCAUUCAGCACUUUGUAGAAAAUGACAAAGUAAAAACUAUUAUAUUUCAAUUUAACAAUACAUUAACUUAAGCAAGAGUUUUAUUAGGGUCUAUUAAAAUGCUAUAUGCCUUGACUGGUAUUUGGAAUGUAGAGGAGUUUAUGAAGUGAAACCUGAUAUAAUUCAAGUGGCUUUUCCUCACCCUCAAAAACCAUUAAAAAAAGCAACAUACUGUAUUUCCCUUAGGAGCUGUUUUGCCAGUUUCGAGUGUCAUAAAAUAGUAGCACUGUGUCAACAAGGAGGUAAAAGGGAGGUGGAGAGCUAAAAUGGAUUAGCGUGGACAGGCCAUCAGGACUAUAGAUGAGUCUCCCAGAAGUGUUUAAAGCACCUGAGAAAUGCUUUCCGUUGUUAUCUACAGGGUAGUCGGAGCCUAUCAAAUGUGAUGAACUCUGACAGAAAAUCAGUGGUCACUGAGCUACUAAAGAAAGCCCCACCUCCC